Gossypium raimondii (Peruvian cotton) is the source of this 420-nucleotide long non-coding RNA. RefSeq lists it as uncharacterized. The record is from RefSeq and is a predicted model, not a curated record. Lineage: Eukaryota; Viridiplantae; Streptophyta; Magnoliopsida; Malvales; Malvaceae. The transcript has 3 exons.
AAAGAAAUAAAAACGAAACAAAAUAAAAAGAAAGGAGAAAGAAGCAGAGAGCAUUUCGAACAGAGCAGUGGAAAGGAGAAAACGAAAAAGAAAAAGAAAAACUAGGGUUUGAGGCUUUAAGCUUUAAUUUGCUAACAAGGAACUCGAGGCAUUGACACACAAAGGAAAGGAGAAGAUUAUUGAGGAAUAAUCGAGCAAAUUCGGGUUGAAAGGGGUCCAGAGUCUCGGUUCAGCAUCCAGAACAAUCCCGACUCAAGCAUAAAUUUUGAUGAUGUUUUCUCCCUUAAUUGAAAGUGGCAUGUACUAGGAGUUGUAUAGGUUAUAUAGAUGUGCUUGUAAUGUUGGUUGUAAAAAUGGUAUACCAUAUUUUGGUAUCAGUUUAAUAAAAUGGUAAAGAUUAUAUUAUAUAAUUUGGCAUUA